Molecule: non-coding RNA, 72 nt
Organism: Araneus ventricosus
Lineage: Eukaryota; Metazoa; Arthropoda; Arachnida; Araneae; Araneidae
Source: the annotation of a GenBank genome assembly
GAGUUCGGUCGAGAUAUGAACCCGGGACCUCUCGCAGCCUAAGCGAGAAUCAUACCCCUAGCCCACCGAACC